Molecule: ribosomal RNA, 120 nt
Filed under: Mastacembelus armatus (zig-zag eel)
Lineage: Eukaryota; Metazoa; Chordata; Actinopteri; Synbranchiformes; Mastacembelidae
Source: RNAcentral
AAAUAUGGCCACACCUGAAUGCGAGUGCCCAAUCCCAUCAGAUCUUGGAGGCUGAGCAGGGUCGUGCCUCAUCAGUACUUGGAUGGGAGACCACCUUGGAAGAGCAGUGGGUUGUGUCAG